This 31-nucleotide non-coding RNA is filed under the name Mus musculus (house mouse). The record is from RNAcentral. Lineage: Eukaryota; Metazoa; Chordata; Mammalia; Rodentia; Muridae.
CAGAGGUCAAUUAUGGUGUCUCUACCACCUC